RNAcentral lists this ribosomal RNA (253 nucleotides) under uncultured bacterium. Its description in RNAcentral is "partial 16S ribosomal RNA". It matches the Rfam family "Bacterial small subunit ribosomal RNA", at positions 524 to 776 of the family's 1533-position model. The record is from RNAcentral.
AACGUAGGAGGCAAGCGUUAUCCGGAUUUACUGGGCGUAAAGCGUGUGCAGGCGGUUGUCCAAGUCGUGUAUGAAAGCGCUCCGCUUAACGGGGCGAGGCUAGACGAGACUGGGCGACUAGAAUCAGACAGAGGCAAGCGGAAUUCCGGGUGUAGUGGUGAAAUGCGUAGAUAUCGAGAGGAACACCAGUGGCGAAGGCGAGUCCCUGGACGAUACCUGACACUGAGGCACGAAAGCCAAGGGAGCAAACAGG